Ictalurus punctatus (channel catfish) is the source of this 1021-nucleotide long non-coding RNA. Lineage: Eukaryota; Metazoa; Chordata; Actinopteri; Siluriformes; Ictaluridae. The record is from Ensembl.
GGAAACUCUGGACUCCACUUCCCAUCAGCCACUGCACUGCUCUAGUUGUCACAUGACCACCUGCACCUGAUUCAUGUUUUGGUUAAUGAGCACUCAUGUGUAUAUAUAGUCCUUGUCGGCACCAUUAGCUUGUCUUUCGUUGUCUUAGAUCCCCUGUGUUCCAUGUUUCUUGAUCUUGUUAGUUUAUGUUUAGUUUUGCCACAGUAUUCUGCCAAGUAGUCUUAGAUUCAUGUUGUUUAUGUCUCAGUGUUUGUUUCAUGCCACAGUGUGUUUCCAAGUUGUCAUAGUGUAUUCGUUUCUUAGUACGUUUCCUUCAAUAAAUGUCAUUAUCUGCACCUGCUUCUGGCUCAACCUCGAAUUGUGACGGAACGAAAGACCUACAACCAGAAGCAGCAGAUCGCCAGGAUGGAUAACUGGGGCGUCAGGAUGCCACCGAUGUUAGUGGAGUACUUUGCCACGUUACGCCAACAGUCGGAAGAUUACCAAGCUGCGCUACGAAAGCAGCAGGUCGCCAGGUACAAGUGGGAGUUUGUGGUCGGGGCUAAUACCAUCUCCCUCCCCUAUUAUGGCUCUCGUUCAGCCUGCCCACUCUGCUGAGUACGUCGCUCAGCCUCCCUGUUCAGCUAUGGACGUCGCUCAGCCUCCCUGCCCCAUGGCAGAUAGCGUUCCCCCCUUCUGCUUCGAGGAGACCCACGCUCCUCUCCCUGGCCUUACAGGGGACUUCGCUCCGCCUCCCUGCUCCGCGGAGGACGUCGCUCCUCUCCCGGGCCUCGCGGAGAACCUCGCUCCCCUCUCCUGUCCCGUGGAGCACGUCGCCCCGCUUUCAUGCUCUGCCGAGGAAAUAUCUCAGCCUCCCUGUGCCAUUGUAGAAGCCGCCCGGCCUCCUGGUUUUGCGGGGGACAUUUUCUCCAGGGAGUCAGGACCACCAGAUGGAGGAGGGGGAGGAGCCACUCAGUGUCCCACCCUGCUUCCUGUUUCACUAGAAACUGUCAACACAUCAAAUGAUGCUGGGUGUUUCAAG